GACGAACGCUGGCGGCGUGCUUAACACAUGCAAGUCGAACGGAAAGGCCCUGCUUUUGUGGGGUGCUCGAGUGGCGAACGGGUGAGUAACACGUGAGUAACCUGCCCUUGACUUUGGGAUAACUUCAGGAAACUGGGGCUAAUACCGGAUAGGAGCUCCUGCUGCAUGGUGGGGGUUGGAAAGUUUCGGCGGUUGGGGAUGGACUCGCGGCUUAUCAGCUUGUUGGUGGGGUAGUGGCUUACCAAGGCUUUGACGGGUAGCCGGCCUGAGAGGGUGACCGGCCAAAUUGGGCCUGGGACACGCCCCAGACUCCUAGGGGGGGCAGCGGGGGGGAAUAUUGCACAAGGGGCGGAAGCCUGAUGCAGCAACGCCGCGUGCGGGAUGACGGCCUUCGGGUUGUAACCCUCUUCCGCCUGUGACGAAGCGUGAGUGACGGUAAGGGGUAAAGAAGCACCGGCUAACUACGUG
This 468-nucleotide ribosomal RNA is filed under the name uncultured bacterium. RNAcentral's name for it is "partial 16S ribosomal RNA". It matches the Rfam family "Bacterial small subunit ribosomal RNA", at positions 28 to 507 of the family's 1533-position model. The record is from RNAcentral.